Molecule: non-coding RNA, 28 nt
Filed under: Rattus norvegicus (Norway rat)
Lineage: Eukaryota; Metazoa; Chordata; Mammalia; Rodentia; Muridae
Source: RNAcentral
UAAGUCAACGGUGCAGUCAACGGUGAAG